Molecule: long non-coding RNA, 12582 nt
Filed under: Brassica rapa (field mustard)
Lineage: Eukaryota; Viridiplantae; Streptophyta; Magnoliopsida; Brassicales; Brassicaceae
Description: long non-coding RNA (BRAP_LNC004575)
Source: RNAcentral
UUCUAUUUGAUUUGGGUGCAGAGAAGAUGGAUCGUAUCGGAAGUCUCCCUGACGAGGUUCUUUCUCACAUACUGUCUUCCCUAACGACAAAGGAAGCUGCUAUAACCUCGAUUCUCUCCAAAAGAUGGCGAAAUCUCUUUACACUCGUCCCUUAUCUCGACAUUGACGACUCUGUGUUUCUUAACCCGGAGGAAGGUAAGCGGGAACGAGAUGGUAUCCUCCAAAGCUUCAUGGAUUUCGUGGAUAAGGUUUUGGCUUCGCAGGGCGAUACUCCCAUCAAGAAAUUCUCCUUGAAAUGCAAAACUGGCAUCGACACAGAUCGUGUGAAUCAAUGGAUAUGUAAUGUCCUCCAACGUGGCGCUACAAGCCUUGAACUUGUCCUAGAUUUUCCUAGAGAAGACGAUGACGAUCUAGAUUCCGAUUAUAUGUAUUUUCUGCCUAAUGAGCUGUUCGUUAGCACCAAACUGGUCGAGUUGAGUUUAAGAAGCGAGUUUGGUGUUGAUUGGUGGCGUGGAGGUAGUUCAAACACUCUCUUACCAAUGCUCAAGACUCUCUGCUUUGAAUCUAAGUGGAUUCUGUUAUGUAAUGAUCUCCAGAUGUUUCUUGCUGCUUUCCCUGUUCUUGAGGAGUUCCACAUGGCUGAUAUCGAGUGGCCUCAAUCGGACCAGUCCGUGUCCAGUGAAAGCCUUAUGAAGUUAACUAUCUAUGCCGGCGGUUUCGAAGACUUUCGGAAUCCGAAGAGGAUUUCUUUUGAUACUCCGAAGCUAGUUUACCUUGAGUAUUCUGAUUUUGUUGCCGCGGAUUACCCCAAAGUUAACUUGCCCAAUCUAGCUGAGGCUGUACUCAUCCUUAAGGUAACUGAACAUCAGAUUGAUUUAAUACGAGAACCAGAUGAUGAAGAUGAUGUUUCUCUACGUCUUGGAAAUGUGUGGAAGCUCAUAAGUGGCUUAAGAAAUGUUAAUAAACUUUUCAUUUCUGCUGAGACUCUUGAGGUCAGUUGUUAUUUAUCUGAAACAUCAAAUGUUUUUUGAAACAAAUGUUGAGAUGGGGUUUGUCUUUGUUUCAGGUACUCUCUCUAUGCUGUGAGUCGAUGCCGGUGUUCAACAACCUCAAAUCUCUACAUAUUAUUUCUGAUGCGGAUCUGGGAUGGCAAGCGAUGCCGGCUCUCUUAAGGAACUCUCCACAUUUAGAAACUCUAAUCCUUAAGGUAUAUAUAUGCUCAAAACAUUGUACAAAGUCACUUACUGACUUGCUUCCUCUUUCAAGGGUCUCUUACACCAUGUGACUGACAAGUGCGGGGAUGCUUGCGACUGCAUAUCUCGGGAGGACAAAGGUCGUUCACUAUCAUCAUGUCCAGUGAAGAAGUUGCAGAUCAGAGGGUUCAAAGGAACAGUUAGAGAGAAAGGGAUGAUAAGGCAUUUCUUGGAGUCUUUCCCAUGUCUGGAUGAGAUGGAAGUAUAUGCCGACCAGAGUGAUAAUGAUCCUACAAACGUGGAAGUCAAUAGAAUUUAUAAAAUCGUUGCAUACAAGGUUCACGCGGAGGACGUUUCGACGGAGACUGUGCUACAGUCGAAGACUAUGUCCCAAACCCAGAUGGAGGAGAUCUCCUCUCAGGUAUAUAUUGAAUUACAUUAAAAAAGAAACCAUUACGGUUUUGAAUUAACUAAUCAGUCCUUUUCUUGGAUUCUGCAGUUUACACCCCGCAAUAACAGAAAUAAGUACGAUUUUGUUUACAUCUUGCAUGGAUCUCCUCCUCCUCCAACACCUCAGGAUAUGUCUGAGGACUACCUUAAAGAACAGCUUGAUGCUGCUGAGACCAAACUUGCGGAACUUAAUGAGGAAUAUAAGGAGAGGCAACGAGUCCAUGAUGCUAUGUUUGAUGGAAUUGUUGAGCAGUACCCGAUGAUAGCAUCGGCAUUGAAGGCUCGACAAGCUGCAACAGACUCAGAGGCGUCUAACGAUCAGGAGAAGAAGCGGGACGUCGAGGCUCUGUUGGAAAUCAUGGGGGACCUGUAUCCAGAUUUUGCAUCAGCGCUGAAGGCUAUGCGUGGGACUGCCUUAGAGCGAGGGGAGCCGUCGAGGGAUCAGGGGGAGAUGGCCGAGCUCGACCAACCUACGUCCACAGCUGUGGCAGCAGAUCUCUUGCCACGAGAUGGAGACUAGAUUUAUGAUUGUGCUUUUAUUUUCCCGUAAAACUUGCAUAUUACAAAUUACUAGGGAUUAACCCGGGCUACGCCCGGGAUUUUUAUUUUUUUCUAAUUGAAGUUGUUAAAUUAUUUAUAUUUAGGCUAUGAUUUAUAUUUAUAUAAAUGUUAAAAUGCAUGUCAUAAUUAAAAUUUAUUUUUAAAUUUUAACACGUUAAAUUAACAUAUUUUUUACUAUUUAAAUAUUUUUUUGUAAUUUUAUUGGCUAUCUAGUUAUCAUAUUUAACAAAACUAUCUUUUGAGUGUUGGAAUAAAUGUUUUAGAGAUUUUAUUAAACUGCAGAGUAUUUUUGGAUCGACCAUAUGCUCAACAUUCGAUCGAUCCGUAAAAUGAUGGUCGAUCUCCUUGGCCAAGUAAGUACAAUUUUAGCAAAAAUAUCUUUUAUUUUCAAAUAUUAAGUAUAUAACUAUUCUUUUUAAUAUUUUUUAAUUGUAUUUUUGAUUAAAUUAUUGUAUUAUAAUGGUUAUGUAAAUAUUUUUUGUGAUGUUUGAAUUUUUGUUGUUCGUAUACUUAACCUAGAUGAUAUUGAUGUUUAACAAUUUAUUGUUUUCUGGAAAUAGAAAAUAAUGAUAUAUCAAAACGUAUCUAAUACUUGUUAAAUGAUAUUAUAAUGUAAAUUACAUCUAUUAUUUGAAAAUAAACAUUUGUUGUUUUUAUUUUUAUUUUAAAUCAGAAAUUAUUUUUAUUUAAAAACAUUAUUCAUAUAUAAUAUAAUAGUUUAAGUUUGGAAGAUUAAUCUAAAUAUAUAAAUUAUGUAUAUUUUUUAAAAAAUAAUUUAAGAUAUUAUAUAUUGAGUAUCUGAAUAAAAUCUGAAUUUCUUAUCUUGAAAAUCAGAUAUUUAUAUUUUUGUCUUCAUGUUAUACUCACCAGUCCAUCAUUGAUAUUUAUAACUCAGUACGUUUUUUUAAAAACUUAGUUUUAAGUAAUAAACGAAUUUAAUAAAUUAAAUUCAUCACCUAUAAUGUUCUGUAAACUAUAUUUGAAAAGUCUCUAAAAUUAUAUUUUAAGCAUAAUAUUAUUAUUAUUUAAUUUAAGUUAUUUUAAACAUAAUAUAUGCUAAACCAACUUAAAUUAUAUUUACAAUAGGACCAUCCUAAACCGGUUAGUAAACCAAAAACAAUACUAAACCAAUAUGAACCAAUACUUGAUUCGGCGAGGAAGGAAGUGUUUCGGGAUAAACGUUUGAAUGGUUAUUAACUGAAAUGGUUUGAUCAUGAAAGAGUUAGUAUGAAUAUUAACAAUAAAAUUAUGGAUUAAAUUAAUUUAAAUUUGUAAGAAUACCUUUGAGUCUAUGAAAAACAAUUCAAUUCCCAUGAAUAAGUUUGGCUUUUGGAAGUUGGAGGUUUCCCAACAAUGAAUCCACAUAACAAAAAGUUUGUUGUUAUAAAAAAAUCUCAUUCAAGGUCAUUAAAGGUUUUUGGGACGGCAAGAGUUGAUAGUGAAACCAUUUUUUUGCUCGAGUGCUUUGAAAUUUUCCUUAAUAGUGUGAGAUUGAUGUGGAUGGAAUAAUGAGUUUUAUAGGGACUUUUUUGAUGUAAAACUAUACAUUUUUUUUUGUUUAAUGUGGUAUUUCUAUUUUUUAUAUAAUUUACUACCAUUUUAAGAUAGAAGUACAUUUUAAGAUAGAUGCUUAAAUCUUAAUGUACUUUUUCCAUUUUUUAAAAUAUUAUUUCCAUUUCUUAUAUUUUUAUUUACGUAAUAUCUAUAUUUUAUAUUUUUAAAUAGAUAUUUAAAUAUUAAUGUACUUUUUCCAUUUUUUAAUUGUGUAUUUACUUAUAUUAUAUAUUUUACAUUUUAAGAUAGAUGUUUAAUGCUUGAUGAACUUUUUCCAUUUUUAAAAAAAUUGUGUAUUUACUUAUUAUUACAUAUAUAAUUCAUAUAUUAUAUAUUUACAUUAUUUACUUAUUAUUUAUUUUUCUGUAUAUGUAUUUCCAUUUCUUGUACUUUUAAUUUACUUAAUAUCUCUAUUUUACAUUUUAAGAUAGAUGUUUAAAUCUUAAUGUACGUUUUCCAUUUUUUUAAAUUGUAUAUUUCCAUUUGUUAUACUUUCUAUUUACGUAAUAUCUAUAUUUUAAAUUUUAAUAUAUAUUUUUAAAUCUUAAUGUAAUUUCCCAUUUUUUAAAUUUGGUAUUCACUUAUAUUAUAUAUUUACUUAUUAUUUAUUUUUCUUUAUAUUGUGUAUUUCUAUUUCCUAUAAUUUCUAUUUACUAAUAAUUUUAUAUUUUAAGAUUGAUUUACAUUUUAAGAUAGAUGUUUAAAUACUAAUGUAUUUUUUCCAUUUUUUUUAAAUUGUGUAUUUCCUUUUCUUAUACUUUCUAUUUACUUAAUAUCUAUAUUUUACAUUUUAAGAUAGAUGUUUAAUAUUUAAUGUACUCUUUCCAUUUUUUAAAAAUUGUGCAUUUACUUAUUAUUGUAAAUAUAAUUCGUAUAUUUAUAUAUUUAUAAUAUUUACUUAUUAUUUAUUUUUCUAUAUAUUGAGUAUUUCUCUUUCUUAUACUUUAUAUUUAGUUAAUGUCUAUAUUUUAUAUUUUAAGAUAGAUGUUUAAAUCUUUGCGUAUUUUUCCAUUUUUAAUGUAAAACGGCAAUGUUUAAUAGAAGAACGUGGAUAAAUAGUCAAAUAGUUAUAUUUAUGUUUUUUUUUUCUUUUUUUAAUAAAAUUGUAAUGUUACAUUAUGAAGAUAACCCGUUUUUUUAGUGAACAAUGGUAAUCUUACAUAUGUUUAAUGUAGUUUUUCCAUUUUUUUAUGUUGUAUGUUUACAUAUUAUUUUUAUUUUUAAAUGUAAAAUGGUAAUUUUACAUAUGUUUAAUGUAGUAUUUCCAUUUUUUAUGGUGUAUGUUUACAUAUUAUUUAUUAUUUUCGAAAUUAUAUAUAAUUUUCUUUUUUGUUUAAUGUAGUUUUUUCAUUUUUUAUGUUGUAUGUUUACAUAUUAUUUUCUUAAAAUAAAAAUGUAAAAUGGUAAGCUUACAUAUGUUUAAUGUAGUAUUUCCAUUUUUAUGUUGUAUGUUUUACAUAUAUUUAUUAUUUUUAAAAUUAUAUAUAAUGUUUUUUGUUGUUUUUAUAAAACGGUAAUGUUACAUGAUGGAGAUAAACCGUCUUUUUUUAAGUGAAAAAUAGUAAUCUUACAUAUGUUUAAUAUAGUUUUUCCAUUUUUUUAUGAUGUAUGUUUACAUAUUUUUUAUAAUUUUCAAAAAUAAGUAAUAUUAAAAUGUAAAACUAUAUUUUAAGCCACGUGUCAUCUUUCGAGAUUAUAUUAUAUAUUUACUUAUUAUUUAUUUUUCUUUAUAUUGUGUAUUUUUAUUUCUUAUACUUUCUAUUUACUAAUAAUUUUAUAUUUUAAGAUUGAUUUACAUUUUAAGAUAGAUGUUUAAAUACUAAUGUACUUUUUCCAUUUUUUUAAAUUGUGUAUUUCCUUUUCUUAUACUUUCUAUUUGCGUAAUAUCUAUAUUUUACAUUUUAAGAUAGAUGUUUAAAUCUUAAUAUACUUUUUUCAUUGUUUUUAAGUUGUGUAUUUAUUUUUCUUAUAUUUUCUAUUUACUUAAUAUCUAUAUUUUACAUUUUAAGAUAGAUGUUUAAUAUUUAAUAUACUCUUUCCAUUUUUAAAAAAUUGUGCAUUUACUUAUUAUUGUAUAUAUAAUUCGUAUAUUUAUAAUAUUUACUUAUUAUUUUUUUUUAUAUAUUGAGUAUUUCUCUUUUUUAUACUUUAUAUUUAGUUAAUGUCUAUAUUUUAUAUUUUAAGAUAGAUGUUUAAAUCUUUACGUAUUUUUUUAUUUUUAAUGUAAAACGACAAUGUUUAAUAGAAGAACUUGGACAAAUAGUCAAACAUAUUUAUGUUUAUUGUAGUAUUUCCAUUUUUAUGUUGUAUGUUUUACAUAUAUUUAUUAUUUUCGAAAUUAUAUAUAAUGUUUUUUGUUUUUUUUAUAAAACGGUAAUGUUACAUUAUGGAGAUAAGCCGUCUUUUUUUUAAAGUGAAAAAUAGUAAUCUUACAUAUGUUUAAUGUCACGUGUCAUCUUUCGAGAUUAUAUUAUAUAUUUACUUAUUAUUUAUUUUUCUUUAUAUUGUGUAUUUUUAUUUCUUAUACUUUCUAUUUACUAAUAAUUUUAUAUUUUAAGAUUGAUUUACAUUUUAAGAUAGAUGUUUAAAUACUAAUGUACUUUUUCCAUUUUUUUAAAUUGUGUAUUUCCUUUUCUUAUACUUUCUAUUUGCGUAAUAUCUAUAUUUUACAUUUUAAGAUAGAUGUUUAAAUCUUAAUAUACUUUUUUCAUUGUUUUUAAGUUGUUUAUUUCUUUUUCUUAUAUUUUCUAUUUACUUAAUAUCUAUAUUUUACAUUUUAAGAUAGAUGUUUAAUAUUUAAUAUACUCUUUUCAUUUUUUAAAAAUUGUGCAUUUACUUAUUAUUGUAUAUAUAAUUCGUAUAUUUAUAUAUUUAUAAUAUUUACUUAUUAUUUUUUUAUAUAUUGAGUAUUUCUCUUUUUUAUACUUUAUAUUUAGUUAAUGUCUAUAUUUUAUAUUUUAAGAUAGAUGUUUAAAUUUUUACGUAUUUUUCUAUUUUUAAUGUAAAACGGCAAUGUUUAAUAGAAGAACUUGGAAAAAUAGUCAAACAUAUUUAUGUUUAUUGUAGUAUUUUCAUUUUUAUGUUGUAUGUUUUACAUAUAAUUAUUAUUUUCGAAAUUAUAUAUAAUGUUUUUUGUUUUUUUUUUAAUAAAACGGUAGUGUUACAUUAUGGAGAUAAGCCAUCUUUUUUUUAAGUGAAAAAUAGUAAUCUUACAUAUGUUUAAUGUAGUUUUUCAUUUUUUUAAUGCUGUAUGUUUACAUAUUUUUUACAAUUUUCGAAAAUAAUUAAUAUUAAAAUGUAAAACUAUAUUUCAUGCCACGUGUCAUCUUUCGGGAGAAAUUUUUUCCGCUGAUGUGGACGUCCUAUGGAGCCUCAAAAGCUCCCUUUUAUUAGUAGAGAUUUUUGGGUUUCGAUAUUUUGGGUAUUAGGUAUGUCGGAUCUAGGAAAUUUUGUACCGAUUAGAUUGUUUAGAAUUUUGGAUCGUAUCGGUUUGGUACUCGGAUCAGUUCCAUUUGUUAAAAUUUAAAUCUAUAGAAAAUUACUGACUUUAUCCAAAAUUACUAGUUCGGAUUCGGUUUUUUUAUAUCCAAUUUUUUUUUCAAAAAUAACAAAAAUAUCUUCAAAUAAAUGAAAAUAUGUGCUACCUAAAAAUUAAAUAAUAUAUUCAAAUUUAUAACUAUUAUUUUAAAUAUUUGAAUUAUUAUAAAUAUUAACAUAACUAAUAUUUCUAGAUAUAUUCUAUCCGUUUCAUAAUUGAUGAUGUUUUAGAAGAUUUUUGGUGUUUCAAAAUAUAUGAUGUUUUGAUAUUUUUAUGUUAUUUUUAACUCUAUUGAAAACUGUGUAACCAAUUAGAUGUUGUAAUCAUUUUUGUAACUGGUUGGAUGAUUUUUAAAUUAUAUUUUGAAACUACUUUUUAAGAGAAAAGUAAAUUUCUUAAUCUUUGUGCAUUAAAGAAUAACAUCAUGUAUUGUGAAACAGAGGGAGUAUAUGUUUACAUUUCGGAUAUUUUUGGAUAUAUGUAAUUUUCGGGUUCAGUUCAUGCUAGGGUUUGAUUUUUCAGAUAUAGAAAAUUAUGUAUCGUUCGGAUAUUUAUGUCGAAACAGGUUGGUUUGAAUUUCGGAUCCGUUAAGUCUAGAAAUUACUUAUUAAUAUAUUAUGUUUCAUUUAAGUUUAAUUAUUAUACUUUUUACUAUGUCUAAAUUUUAGUUCUCGACGAUGUUGCUCUGCUUGAUCGGAUGGUGGAAAAUGGUCAUCCACCUGACCUUGUCACUUACAGAACAAUUGUAAACAGAUUGUGUAAGAUAUUAUACAGUGCCGCCAUGACGUCAUAGCGAUGCUCAAAAUCUUUUCAGUGAAAUGCACGAGAAAGGAAUCGUUCCGGAUGUAAUCACCUACAGUUGUAUGAUAUAUGGUUUUUGUAUCUCUGGUAGAUGGAGUGAUGGCGAGCGGUUGUUGCGCGAAAUGGUAGAAACAGAUAUCAAUCCCAAUGUUGUAAAACACAUUGAUCAAUGCAUUGGUCAAAGGAGGCAAGUUCAUUGUGCCGACGAACUAUACAGUGAGAUGCUCCACAUGGGUGUAUAUCCUAAUACAGUCACAUAUAAUUCAAUGAUCGAUGGACUAUGCAGACAGAACCGCUUAGAUGAGGCAAAACGUACAUUCGAUUCGAUGGGUAGUAAAGGCUGCUCUCCAAAAGUAGUGACCUUCACUACACUCAUUAAUGGCUAUUGUAAGGCUGGGAAGGUUGACGAUGGGAUGGAGCUUGCCCACGAGAUGUACCAAAGAGGAAUAGUUGCUGAUGAAGUUACUUACAAAACUUUGAUUUAUGGGUUUCGUCAUGUGGGUCAUUGAAGCCCUAGACAUUUUCCAGGAGAUGAUUUCCAGUGGUAUAUGUCCUGAUACCAUUACUAUCCGGAAUAUGCUGAUUGAUUUAUGGAGUAAGGAGGAACUUAAAAUGGCUGUGACAAUGUUUUAGUAUCUCCAGAAGAGUAUGGUAUGUCCUCCUCAACACAUAUUUUUUUCAAUUUCUUUGCUUACCUUUCGUGUGUUUGGAGAAGAAUGUAAACAUAUCCAGGAAAGUUUGCUACCAAAUUUCCAAUUUCAGCUGAAAAAUACAGAAUCCUUAUUAACCCGCUGAUUGGUUGGGUGUGCUUGUUUUGCAGCGUUAAUAAUUACAGGAUGAAUGAAGAACAAAUGUUUUUAUGUCUUUGGCAGCAAAGCUUCAGUGCCAUUUAAUUUUUGUUGGAUCUGUUCCUUACUAAUUUUUUAUCAGAUUACAAAAUAUUGAAAUUUCUUUAAGCCUGGUGAUUUUGAAUUUUAUUUUUAUUUUUUUAUUUUCAUUUUUUAUUUUAUAGUUUUUUGAGUAUUUUUUUAUUUUUCUAAUGGCUUUAUCACCAAAGUAGUAAUGAUUUAUGCAUAUAUAUGUGGAUUGGCGUUUGCUAAUCAAAAUACCAAAAUAGAUAAUACAAUAUAUCAAAUUUUACAAAUGUUACCUGGAGAUGUGCACAUGCCUACAUGUUUAUAUGUGUACAUGAUUACAUUUGUACAUGUGUACUUUUUUUAUGUGUACAUAUAUAUAUUAUUAAAAAAUAAAUAGGCGGAUAGUGUUAAAAUAAUUAUUUGUGGAUUGAUUUAUAUGUGAAUAGUGAAAACGUACUCGUCUAUAUACUCUUUGAGAUACACAUCCACACAAAAAUUAUAAAAUGAUCUGAAAAAUUCAUCAAGAAUUUGAGACUAAUUACAACAUUUCAUUUUGACUAGCUCACUUAUUACUAACUAUUGUUUUCCAGUGAACUUCCGACGGACAAUGCUGUUGGAAAAUUUCCUCGAAAAUUUCUAACAAAAAGCAUUGGUCUGGAUUUCCAUGUGUUCAUAUGUACAUAUUUACAUGUGUGCAUGGUGUACAUGUACAUAUUAUUAAAGAAACGUACAUUUCGUUUGUAAUGUACAAAUGCAACAUGAUUAUACACAUUACAUUUGAGAAGUUUCAAAUCACAUUUGAGAAGUUUAAAAUCAUAACACAAAAUAUCAGAAAACACAAAAGAUGAAAGUGAUGUACAUAACAUAUAGGUGAUUUUAAUGGUUUUCACAAACAUCUAAAUGUACACUUAAUUAAUAAACAUCUACAUGUACAUUUAGAAUGUACACAUGUAUUCGAUUUUUUUAAUAAUUAAUUUAUUAAUGACAUCAUUAUAAUUAUGUCAUCUUCUUCCCGAGUCCCUUAGGGUUACAAAUUUUACAAGAAAUUUGAGGAUUUUUAACUCAUUGGUAGGAACAAAAUGAAAGACAGCUUAAAAACAUUUAACUUGGUCUUAUUGCUCUUGAUUUCAUGUUGAUUUGUUAGCUGCGAUUUGUCGGCGGUAAAAUGAAACAAAAUGAAGAAGGAAAACAUAUGCAUGACAGCACGAUAAACGUUUCUGUGACCGGAGCUUGAGGGUGACGACGAGUGCAGCGGCUCAGGCAAAGAAGCUUACUGUGGUCAGGGUUACCCGCAUUCGAGCUCGUGACUCAAUCAUAUUCGCGACAGAGAGUUUUGAUGAGGGUUGGGAUAGUUUUGACGGUAAUUGAAAUUCAUAAAGGAAAGAGAGAGAGAAUAAAUCUUGACCAUUCAGUAUGUAAUUAAAUCAAUGGUUUAUAGCAAUUCAAGUGACUUUAUUAAUUGAUGCUAGUUUUUCUUUUUCUUUUUUAACGUUGGGAACACAUUACAUCAUCAUAUAAUCACUAGAUCUAUUACAUAUGAUGAUCAACUACCUGCAACAUAUGUGAUAUUGAUGAAUAGCUCCACGAAUAAUGAUUCCACGAUGAAGCUCUUCCCGAAACACUUGAAACCACAGACGGUUUUGCAUGUACGACAUCCUCGAUAGACAGGUUCUCACCGCAACAAGCGACCACAACGAACGGCUCUGUUUACAGUACUCUGGAACCUCCGAAAGCUUUGCAUCCUAUAAUCUACAAGAAAUUGCAUAGUAUGGGAUUCAAACCCCAUACCUAGGUGUAGAAGCCUUUUAACCAAUAGGCUAGGGUGCUUCCACAAUUGAUGCUAGUUUAGUUAGAUAUAUUUUCUAAAAGGAUGUAACUGGAUCAGUUAGGAGACAAGGAAAAAGUUAAGAAAAAGUGUCAUGAGGAGUACAUAGUGCUUUAGAGUGUAAAGAAGUAGAUGUGAUGUGACCUAUUGUGUAAAGGGUAAUUCUCCUAAAUAGACUAUUUUUAAGUUUUGAUCACAAAAAUAUACUACAAUGAGGAAAAUGACCAAAAUGUUUCAUUUAAUAGGUAAAAGGAACCUAAUACUCUAGAUAUAAAAAAAAUUAAAAAAUUAAAAAUAAAAUAAAAUAAAAAUAAAUAAACUUUUUUUAUAGUUUUAGAUUAUAUGUUUUCAAAUUCGAAUUUUUUUAUAAUUUUUGUUACAUAAAUUUUUUUUUCAAAAUUUUUAUUUUAUUUUUUUUUUCAAAUUUUGUUUUUGUAAUUUGAAAAUACUAUUUGAAACUAUUUUUAAAAUUUUUAUUAUAAAAUUUUUAAUAUUUAUUUUUUAUUUUAUAAAAUUUUAAAUCUCAAUCCCAAAUCUCCACCCCUCAGCUCUAAACCUUAAGAGUUAGAUUAGUUAACUUUAAUGAUAUAUAUGUAUAUUUACUUCUUUAAUAAAAUAUUUUGGUUAUUUUGAUAUUUAUGGUCUAUAUUUGUGACAUAAUUUUUUUUAGUGCUAUUUUAGGCUAUUUCCCGAUUGGUUAUAUUCGGUUUGAUAAAAAGUACAAAACCAACCCUAACUAAGUGUUCUUCAUUUCAAUUGAUUCCUUGUCUUAACCAGCGACUCAUCGCGCACUCUUUUAACUCCCAGUCUUCUGAUUCUAAACUUGUAUUCUUGCAAGAGAAGAUGGAUCGUAUCGGAAGUCUACCCGAAGAGGUUCUUUCUCAUAUACUGUCUUUCCUGACGACAAAGGAAGCUGCUAUAACCUCGAUUCUCUCCAAAAGAUGGCGCAAUCUCUUUACACUCGUCCCUAGCCUCGACAUUGACGACUCUGUGUUUCUUAACCCGGAAGAGGGUAAGCGGGAACGAGAUGGUAUCCUCCAAAGCUUCAUGGAUUUCGUGGAUAAGGUUUUGGCUUCGCAGGGCGAUACUCCCAUCAAGAAAUUCUCCUUGAAAUGCAAAACUGGCAUCGACACAGAUCGUGUGAAUCAAUGGAUAUGUAAUGUCCUCCAACGUGGCGCUACAAGCCUUGAACUUGUCCUCGAUUUUCCUGGAUCAGACGACAAUUGGGAUUCCGAUUAUAUGUAUCUUCUGCCUAGAGAGCUGUUCGUUAGUAGCAAACUGGUGGAGCUGAAAUUAAGAAGCGAGUUUGGUGUUGAUUGGUGGCGUGGAGGUACGGACACUUUCUUACCAAUGCUUAAGACUCUCCGCUUUGAAUCUACGUGGAUUCUGUUGUGUGAUGAUCUCGAGGUGUUUCUCUCUGCUUUCCCUGUUCUCGAGGAGUUCUACAUGGCUGAUAUCGAGUGGCCUCAAUCGGACCAAUCCGCGUCGAGUCAGAGCCUCAGGAAGUUAACUAUCCAUGCCGGCGGUUUCCAAGAUUUUCGAAAUCCGAAGAGGAUUUCGUUUGAUAGUCCGAGUCUCGUUUACCUUGAGUAUUCUGAUUUUGUUGCCGCGGAUUAUCCGAAAGUUAACUUGCCCAAUCUAGCCGAGGCUGUGCUCGACCUUAAGGUGACUCUACAUCAGAUUGACUUAAUACGAGAACCAGAUGAUGAAAAUGUUGUUUCUCUACGUCUUCGGAAUGUGUGGAAGCUCAUAAGAGGGUUAAGAAAUGUUAAUAAACUUUUCAUUUCUGCUGAGACUCUUGAG